CUCAAAAGAUAGGAAAAUGCUUUGAAAGGUCAAACUGACCUGCACACAGAGGAGAUCAUAAAACAUAGAAUCAACAUAGAAUACAAUUAUUAUAGAAAAAUAAGAAGACAACAUGGUAAUAAGCAGUAAACUAGUGGAUAGAUUUCCUUGCUAAUGUAACCUUCAGAUUAUCUACCCUGUGUCCUGUGGGCUCUGUCUGACCAUCACUUUGGUUCACAGUGUCCUCAAAAGAAAUGAAGACUCCCGAAAGAUGUCACAAGUCAUAGUUGCACAUAAUACAAUCGCCCCCCCUCCCACUUUACAAAUAGGAGGGUAAAAGGCAUACAGUUUGGACUUAACAGUGAGAACUCGAAGGUUUAAAAUCCUGUGACAAACACCUUGUAAUUAUUCACUUGUUGAUGUAGGGUCUUUGCUUUCUUUCAGUCUCUUCUAUCAGUGUAUGUGACCCAGUGAAAUAUAAUCGCACAUGGAAAGACGUGAUGUGACAGGGUCAAUUCCUAAUGUUUCUGCUAAAGAUCAGUUGUGUAUGAGACCUGUGCUCAUAUGGUCUGUAAUGGAGCAGCUGGAUGGUUAAAAUGUCAUUGUGCUUUCUCUGAAGACAUCAGCUAAACGUGUAUCGUCUCUUUGUGCAGUCUUCGCAUUUAAAAAAAAAUUGUAAAAAGUGGUAAACUCUCAAAUUCACCUCAAUCUGUCUUCUUUAUAUUAGGGUGAAGGCAGAAAUCUUUGAAGAAGAAAUCCUUAAAGCUUCUCCACUUCAGCCAGGACAAGAUAAUAACCAACCUGAGGAACUGUCCUCUGAGCACCGCAAGCAUGGACUCUGUGAUGGAGUCCAUUCCGAACCUGCUCCGUAACCUCAUCACAGGCUCCAAGGACUUCCCUCUCUUCAGUUCAGAGGAUCCUUCUGCACACCUCAGAUGGUCACAAAAGGUCCACAUGGAGCAGGAGGAGAGCCAGAACACCACACUGUCUCCUGAUGGAAGAACCAUGAGGUAUGAUGCCCACUCCACUCCAGUUCUCCCUGAGAGGACAGAGCUGGGAGUCCUGAAGGCAGACCACAGAAACUGUGUGCAAUGCGUGUAGAUUAAUGGCAGGACUGUGGCCGGAGUUAUCUGUAUAAGAGAGGAGAAUGGGUGAGACUGAAGUAGGAGCAUGCAUGGUGAACUCUGGCCUUUCAAAAGAGAGAUGAGAGGAGAUGAGAGCAGAAAAGACAAGAGGAGACAGCAUGCACUGCAAAGUCUCUCAUUUCAAAAAGAUUGCUAUGUUCUCACCUGCAGCAGCAGACAGCCUGCCUGUCAUCACAUACAGAUCCAGCUGGACUCCAGGCCACCACAAAGUCUGCAAGUGUCACACACAGUGAG
Molecule: long non-coding RNA, 1358 nt
Organism: Scatophagus argus
Lineage: Eukaryota; Metazoa; Chordata; Actinopteri; Scatophagidae
Exons: 5
Source: RefSeq, a predicted model, not a curated record